This 547-nucleotide ribosomal RNA is filed under the name Diaporthe longicolla. RNAcentral describes it as "eukaryotic LSU rRNA". The stretch from base 175 to 328 matches the Rfam family "5.8S ribosomal RNA". Lineage: Eukaryota; Fungi; Ascomycota; Sordariomycetes; Diaporthales; Diaporthaceae. The record is from RNAcentral.
GAUUUGGAGCCCUUCGGCGCCCCAGAACCCUUUGUGAACUUAUACCUACUGUUGCCUCGGCGUCAGGCCGGCCCCUUCACUGGGGCCCCCCGGAGACGGGGAGCAGCCCGCCGGCGGCCAACUAAACUCUUGUUUCUAUAGUGAAUCUCUGAGUAAAAAACAUAAAUGAAUCAAAACUUUCAACAACGGAUCUCUUGGUUCUGGCAUCGAUGAAGAACGCAGCGAAAUGCGAUAAGUAAUGUGAAUUGCAGAAUUCAGUGAAUCAUCGAAUCUUUGAACGCACAUUGCGCCCCCUGGUAUUCCGGGGGGCAUGCCUGUUCGAGCGUCAUUUCAACCCUCAAGCCUGGCUUGGUGAUGGGGCACUGCUUCGAGAGGAGCAGGCCCUGAAAUUCAGUGGCGAGCUCGCCAGGACCCCGAGCGUAGUAGUUAUAUCUCGCUUUGGAAGGCCCUGGCGGUGCCCUGCCGUUAAACCCCCAACUUCUGAAAAUUUGACCUCGGAUCAGGUAGGAAUACCCGCUGAACUUAAGCAUAUCAAUAAGCGGAGAAA